Molecule: ribosomal RNA, 1322 nt
Filed under: metagenome
Description: bacterial LSU rRNA
Rfam family: Bacterial large subunit ribosomal RNA
Source: RNAcentral
AGUGGAUGGGGAGCAACCUAGUUGUGCGUGUGUAAAGGUAGUGCCAAGAAAAGCGAUGAUCAUGUUGAAAAUCAAUUCCCGGUACCCGAAACCGACACAGGUGGGCAAGUAGAGAAUACUAAGGGGCGCGAGGUAACUCUCUCCAAGGAACUCGGCAAAAUGACCCCGUAACUUAGGGAGAAGGGGUGCCACCGAGAGGUGGUCGCAGUGAAGAGGCCAGGCGACUGUUUAGCAAAAACAUAGGUCUCUGCAAACUCGAAAGAGGAGGUAUAGGGGCUGACGCCUGCCCAGUGCCGGAAGGUUAAAGAAGUUGGUCAGUUUUAGGAUGAAGCUAGCGACUGAAGCCCCGGUGAACGGCGGCCGUAACUAUAACGGUCCUAAGGUAGCGAAAUUCCUUGUCGGGUAAGUUCCGACCCGCACGAAAGGCGUAACGAUCUGGGCGCUGUCUCGGAGAGAGGCUCGGCGAAAUAGGAUUGUCUGUGAAGAUACGGACUACCUGCAUUUGGACAGAAAGACCCUAUGAAGCUUUACUAUAGCUUGGAAUUGUGUUCGGGCUUCCUGUGCGCAGGAUAGGUGGGAGGCGUAGAAGGUAUUCUUGUGGGGAUACUGGAGCCAACGGUGAGAUACCACUCUCAGGAGGCUAGAAUUCUAACUUAAUUAAGGACAGUUUCAGGUGGGUAGUUUGACUGGGGCGGUCGCCUCCAAAAAGGUAACGGAGGCGUACAAAGGUUCCCUCAGACUGGUUGGAAAUCAGUCGAAGAGUGCAAAGGCAGAAGGGAGCUUGACUGCGAGAAGUGCAGUUCGAGCAGGGUGGAAACACGGUCUUAGUGAUCCGACGGUGCUGUGUGGAAGGGCCGUCGUUCAACGGAUAAAAGUUACUCUAAGGAUAACAGGCUGAUCUCCCCCAAGAGUUCACAUCGACGGGGAGGUUUGGCACCUCGAUGUCGGCUCAUCGCAACCUGGGGCGGAAGUACGUCCCAAGGGUUGGGCUGUUCGCCCAUUAAAGCGGUACGUGAGCUGGGUUCAGAACGUCGUGAGACAGUUCUCCAUAUCCGAUGUAGGCGUGAGAAUAUUGAGAGGAGCCUUCCUUAGUACGAGAGGACCGGGAAGGACGCACCGCUGGUGUACCUGUUAUGAUGCCAAUUGUAAACGCAGGGUAGCCAAGUGCGGAGAGGAUAACCGCUGAAAGCAUCUAAGUGGGAAGCCCACCUCAAGAUGAGUAUUCUGGUGUAAGGUCACGGGAAGACGACCCGUAAAUAGGCACGAGGUGGAAGUGCAGAGAUGUAUGAAGCCGAAGUGUACUAAUAGACCGUCGGCUUGAC